ACAAGACAGACACCCCACCAUGGUUCUAUCGCAAAGUCUGCAGGAUGUGCAGGUAAGAGUUCUUUUGCAAUUGACUUGUUCAGCUUCCACAUAAUUUUCUGCCUCAUUCCAACCAAGUAAAAAGCAAGUCAAGCAACCAGUGCAUUUGUUAUCAAAUGUAUACUCAAUAUACAAUUAAACAUCCUGGUUCCAGCAAAGUUUAAAAUUUAGAAUCUCACUUGCUAUGGUUUUACACGAAUCAAUGUCGGUUCCUUGAAAUAUCAAAACCUCAAUCGUUGAAAAAAAAAGUCACUUUGCAGAACAAACAACGGUGCUUAUUCAAAUCUCCAAACUCGACCAACUCCAG
This 346-nucleotide long non-coding RNA is filed under the name Linum usitatissimum (flax). RNAcentral's name for it is "long non-coding RNA (LUSI_LNC001493)". Lineage: Eukaryota; Viridiplantae; Streptophyta; Magnoliopsida; Malpighiales; Linaceae. The record is from RNAcentral.